GACGAACGCUGGCGGCGUGCUUAACACAUGCAAGUCGAACGGUAAGGCCCUUCGGGGUACACGAGUGGCGAACGGGUGAGUAACACGUGGGUGAUCUGCCCUGCACUUCGGGAUAAGCCUGGGAAACUGGGUCUAAUACCGGAUAGGACCACUGCCUGCAUGGGUGGUGGUGGAAGGCUUUUGCGGUGUGGGAUGGGCCCGCGGCCUAUCAGCUUGUUGGUGGGGUGAUGGCCUACCAAGGCGACGACGGGUAGCCGGCCUGAGAGGGUGACCGGCCACACUGGGACUGAGAUACGGCCCAGACUCCUACGGGAGGCAGCAGUGGGGAAUACUGCACAAUGGGCGCAAGCCUGAUGCAGCGACGCCGCGUGAGGGAUGACGGCCUUCGGGUUGUAAACCUCUUUCAGCACCGACGAAGCGCAAGUGACGGUAGGUGCAGAAGAAGGACCGGCCAACUACGUGCCAGCAGCCGCGGUAA
Molecule: ribosomal RNA, 478 nt
Filed under: uncultured bacterium
Lineage: Bacteria
Description: partial 16S ribosomal RNA
Rfam family: Bacterial small subunit ribosomal RNA
Source: RNAcentral